GUAGGGGGCAAGCGUUAUCCGGAAUUACUGGGUGUAAAGGGAGCGUAGGCGGCAAGGUAAGUAAGAUGUGAAAGCCCGCAGCUUAACUGCGAGGAUUGCAUUUUAAACUAUCUAGCUUGAGUACAGGAGAGGUAAGCGGAAUUCCUAGUGUAGCGGUGAAAUGCGUAGAUAUUAGGAAGAACACCAGUGGCGAAGGCGGCUUACUGGACUGUAACUGACGCUGAGGCUCGAAAGCGUGGGGAGCGAA
This 247-nucleotide ribosomal RNA is filed under the name uncultured bacterium. Its description in RNAcentral is "partial 16S ribosomal RNA". It matches the Rfam family "Bacterial small subunit ribosomal RNA", at positions 527 to 772 of the family's 1533-position model. The record is from RNAcentral.